Molecule: long non-coding RNA, 443 nt
Filed under: Homo sapiens (human)
Lineage: Eukaryota; Metazoa; Chordata; Mammalia; Primates; Hominidae
Description: long non-coding RNA NONHSAT172005.1
Source: RNAcentral
CUACAAUGUUUCAGACACUGUACUGAACACUGAAAAUACAGCAGACAAAAGACAGAUGACAGUUCCUGUCCUCAUGGAAUUUUUAUUCUACUGUGGAGAGACUGAGAAUUUAAAAUAAAUAAGAAGAGCCUUGUAUUCUAGAAGACGGUAAGUGCUCUGGAGGAAAAUAAAGCAGAGAAUGAAGUUACAGAAAGAUGAAGAGAGAAAAUACAAUGUUCACAAAGAUUGACAGGGACACCUUACUGAGACUUGACCAGGAGCAAGAACAAGGCAGCAUGAAAGAAUAGCAAGGAAUUGAAUAAGUGAAGCAAAUUCCAGAAAUAAAUGACAUCUGAGAAAGAAUUCGCUGGCAGUUACUUUUUUCUGGUCAAGUUCUGCUGUGGAGACUGAAUGGUCCAGGAUGCCUUCACUUACUGAUAGUGGCGAGGCUGUUGGUCUCAAGU